UACAGAGGGUGCGAGCGUUGUUCGGAAUUACUGGGCGUAAAGGGCGCGUAGGCGGUCGUGUCAAGUCACUUGUGAAAUCUCCGGGCUUAACUCGGAACGGUCAAGUGAUACUGUCGGACUAGAGUACAGAAGGGGCAACUGGAAUUCUCGGUGUAGCGGUGAAAUGCGUAGAUAUCGAGAGGAACACCUGCGGCGAAGGCGGGUUGCUGGGCUGAUACUGACGCUGAUGCGCGAAAGCCAGGGGAGCGAACGGG
Molecule: ribosomal RNA, 254 nt
Filed under: uncultured bacterium
Lineage: Bacteria
Description: partial 16S ribosomal RNA
Rfam family: Bacterial small subunit ribosomal RNA
Source: RNAcentral